RNAcentral lists this ribosomal RNA (465 nucleotides) under Vreelandella stevensii. RNAcentral describes it as "partial 16S ribosomal RNA". It matches the Rfam family "Bacterial small subunit ribosomal RNA", at positions 338 to 795 of the family's 1533-position model. Lineage: Bacteria; Pseudomonadati; Pseudomonadota; Gammaproteobacteria; Oceanospirillales; Halomonadaceae. The record is from RNAcentral.
CCUACGGGCGGCUGCAGUGGGGAAUAUUGGACAAUGGGGGCAACCCUGAUCCAGCCAUGCCGCGUGUGUGAAGAAGGCCCUCGGGUUGUAAAGCACUUUCAGUGAGGAAGAACGCCUGGUGGUUAAUACCCAUCAGGAAAGACAUCACUCACAGAAGAAGCACCGGCUAACUCCUUGCCAGCAGCCGCGGUAAUACGGAGGGUGCGAGCGUUAAUCGGAAUUACUGGGCGUAAAGCGCGCGUAGGUGGCUUGAUAAGCCGGUUGUGAAAGCCCCGGGCUCAACCUGGGAACGGCAUCCGGAACUGUCAAGCUAGAGUGCAGAAGAGGAAGGUAGAAUUCCCGGUGUAGCGGUGAAAUGCGUAGAGAUCGGGAGGAAUACCAGUGGCGAAGGCGGCCUUCUGGACUGACACUGACACUGAGGUGCGAAAGCGUGGGUAGCAAACAGGAUUAGAUACCCUAGUAGUC